GACAGAGGGUGCGAACGUUGUUCGGAAUUACUGGGCGUAAAGCGCGUGUAGGCGGCAGCGCAAGUCGGGCGUGAAAUCCCACGGCUCAACCGUGGAAGUGCACUCGAAACUGCGCAGCUAGAGUCCUGGAGAGGAAGGUGGAAUUCCCGGUGUAGUGGUGAAAUGCGUAGAUAUCGGGAGGAACACCAGUGGCGAAGGCGGCAUCCUGGCCCUGUCCUGACGCUCAGGGGCGAAAGCGUGGGGAGCAAACAGG
Molecule: ribosomal RNA, 253 nt
Filed under: uncultured bacterium
Lineage: Bacteria
Description: partial 16S ribosomal RNA
Rfam family: Bacterial small subunit ribosomal RNA
Source: RNAcentral